Molecule: long non-coding RNA, 545 nt
Organism: Scylla paramamosain (green mud crab)
Lineage: Eukaryota; Metazoa; Arthropoda; Malacostraca; Decapoda; Portunidae
Exons: 3
Source: RefSeq, a predicted model, not a curated record
UCGUUUUCUCUUCUGAGAUGUAAACAAAGCGGUACAUUCCUUUCAGCUGGUGAUAAAACUUUCUCUCGCUCUCCCUCGCUCUCCCUCGCUCUCCCUCACUCUCCCACGUCACGGAAGCAGUAAAAUAAAGCACAGGAGGAGGAAGUGAGAGGAUAAUGAAUUUUGGAUGUUUGUGAUACGUCAGAAGGUUUCACUCAUUUCCUGUCGAGAUGUUGAGCAACGGCAACCCUCCAAUCCGGCAAGCAGUUGGCGGCAGCGAUGGCGGGUGGCGGCAGCAGUGGUGGCGAGGCGGACGGCAGGGACAGAGGGGCAGUACAGGGUGCGGACAUCAAGGAGAAGAGGAACGCACGGACAAGCAAGGUGUUAUUCGGCAGUCUGAUCCUGGACCUGGUCGGCUUCAUGGCGGUGGUGCCUCUGUGUCCUGCUCUCCUUGACUGUUACUCCAAGCACAACACCAGCGGCUUGUAUUCCUCUCAGCUCUCCUGUGUGACUUAUUACCAACAUAUCAUCGGUUUCGCUGCGAGGGUUUCAUUCUGUCUUGUUUG